AUCCUUUUUUGAUCCUUUUUUUUUUUUAAGAUUUAUUUAUUUAUUUAUUUAUUUAUUUAUUUAUUUAUUUAUUAUAGACAUAGAGAGAGAGAGAGAGGCAGAGACACAGGAGGAGGGAGAAGCAGGCUCCAUGCCGGGAGCCCGACGUGGGACUCGAUCCCAGAACUCCAGGAUUGUGCCCUGGGCCAAAGGCAGGCGCUAAACCGCUGAGCCACCCAGGGAUAUCUGUGACACUUGAUCCUGAUCCUGAAGACUUGGUAAGAACUCAACUAGGAGCUCAACUAGGGGAAGAGGCUAAUGGCAUACUAGACUAGAUUAUGUUGAAGAAUGGACAACUCAAAGAACUUGGUAUGUUUGGGACUUUGGAAUCUCCAUAAUGGAAGGUACCCAUGAGUGAGGGCUGGAGAGAAGUGAGGAGGGGUUUGGACCAGAGCUUGAAAUGUCUUCAAUACCGUGCUGGAUUUCUUCUGUUUGUCUCUCCAGGUAGCUCUUUACCCUUGUCCACCAUGUUCUUGGAAGGUCAUUAGUGGGUCUUUUUGCCCUUCAUCUUCUUAUUGGAUUCCCCCAGCACAGAACUCUGGCAGGAAACUGAAAGAAGGGAGAAGAGUGAGGUCAAAGCAUUUGCUUUGUUGGCUCCUUCCACAAGAAGUCAUCUGGGAUUGGCUGCUUCCCCCAGCUGAGGGUCAUUGGGACUCUAAACCUGGCCAAGUCAACUUGUCCUUUAAGGAUCAGGUGUGUUAUGGGAUGUAUGAUUCUGGAAAGCUGGCCUGGAGCGAGAUUGAUGUGGACCUUGGAUUCUCUGCCAGGGGUUUUGAACUUUUUGCUGCUGAGAAGAGGAGCCAUUAAAGUGAGGAAUGUUUGGGCGUCAGCAGUAUAACUUCUGACUGAACGGGAGAGCCAAGAGUUUGGGGCUGAGGCAGCGCUGAAUUCAAUAAAUAUUUGGAGGCUGGGUCACAGAACUUAGCGACCAUUGUAGCUGGAGGGUGACAGAGAACGUUGUCCCGAAUUCUGCAGCACCCUGAACACAGUUCUGCUUCCCUAGGAGUCUUCCCUUCUCCAGCACUCCAUUGGUUUACCACAUACCGCAUGCUUUCUGGAAACUUUAACAUCCUCGUCACCUCUUCAAACACAGAGGUUUGCUGGGGCCCCUCUUAAAUGUGGUCCCCUGAGUCAAACACAUACACCCAAAGAUAGCCCACCAGGGGAGAAUAUAGUACCUUUUUAAGCAAACAGGAUUCUUCCCUUGUUAAUUCCACAUUCUGUCCUCACCUCCCCUCAUGCUUGGGAGAGCACCCCUCCCCUCGCUAAGUCUCUGUCUGUUCAUCAACAUGAUCUAUUAAAUAGGGCACAUCACCACUUAAGGGAAAAGUGGAUAAAAAUAAUUUUUCAACAUUCACUUGUUCAUUCUGUAAGAUUUUCUAUAUUUAUAAGCAUUUCUGGUAAAUAUAAGCAUUGCAAUAAAUACCUACUAUGUGCUAGGCACCCCCAUUGGGCCCAUGGGAUAUCGUGAUGGAAAAAUAUCAGAAUUUGCCUUUAAUGAGUUCGGUCUAAAUAUCAAAAAAAGAUGUCUAAAGCAAGUUUUCUACUAACAAGUAGCUUACAGUCUCAAAGGCAAGAAACGACAGUCAUCCAUACUUUCAUUCAUGUUGUACUAAUAGGUGGCGUGCAGUGGAUGCUUCUUCUGGGCAGGUGUCCUUCCAGGGGUUGACAUGAAUUAGCUCACUUAGUUCUCAUAAAACACUAGGAGGCAGGUAGAUAUGCUUACUCACCUUCCUAUUUUAUAGAGGAGGAAACUGAAGCAUGGCCAUUCGAAGUCACCCAACUAAGUGGACUCAGAAGGCAAACAUAAGAAUUUUGCUUUCCAACUCUGCAUCCUUUACCAGUAGCUUGCAUAAUCUCUUGCAAAUAAGGCUAAAAGAGAAAAAUGCCAUGAAAGAGAAAGAGUAGACUUUUCCUGUGCCUGGAAAGAGCAGUCCGUUUUGAUCCCCUUGUAAAUGAUUCAUCCCUGGUGUGGGCUUCUUGUGGGCUAGUUUCUGCGUGUGGGUGAGGAGGGCAUCACUGCUUUCCCUUAUGCAUCUAUCUGCUGCCACCUGUAUUUACAGCGGGAGAGCUCACACCCCACUGAACGGUGGUGUUAAAGUGAUAAUGUUUUAUGCUUUGGCUUUCAGCAGGUGACAAUAAAAAAAAUCAAUGGUUUAUAAUUACAGGUCCUUGAAGUUUAGUGUUGCCGCAGACUGUAAUGAAAAUUCAUUUGUAGUAUGACAACCACAGAUUAGCAAUUUCUCUCUCCCCAAAUAGCAGGGUGGUUUCUUAUGUUGCUGGUUUGCUACCUCUUACAGAAGGGAUUGGAUCAUGUGCCAGGUUGUCCCAAUGAAUAAUUGCCUGGUUUUAUUAUAUGGGAUAAAUCAAUCACAUAGACUUUGUGCGUUGGCUUAAUGAGGUUAGAUCAGCAAGCACCGAGCUUGGGAAACAGUUGUUGUCAAGAGCCUCUGAGCACUAACAGACGGCCCUGGAAGGGCUGAAUUUGGGGUGAAUACUCAACAGUUGGCCUGAAGGUGCAUGGUACGAAUCUGAGGUUUUGUUUGGGAGUUGCCUUUUAAGAGGGCAGGGGUUCUAAAAUACAUCGAACCUGCAGAAAGCAUUUGUACAUUAGUAGAUCAGUAACUAAAAAAGCAAAACAAAAUAAAAACAAAAAUAAAUUUAAAAAACAGCCUCUGCCCCCAUGCACCCCUAACUGGUAGCUCUUGUCACUUCCUCACACAGUGAUGGCUUUAUUUGGGGAGCGGGGAUAGAAGGAGAAUGGAUUAUAAAACACCACAAUGGCUUUCCAGGGGGAAGCAUGUUGCUUCUCUCCGGCUAACACGGGUUGGGGAGGGGGUGGUGUAAGGAGUUGGUCAGUAACCCUUUGGAUUUCCAAGCUCCCAGAUGUUGCAAGAGCCCAGAUGCUUGCAUUGUUUGAGCUAGGGUCAUGAGGGUGGAAAGGCGUUGCAAUUUCCUUCUGCCCUUUGUACACCGGCUGAUCUCUAGGUGAGAUUCCUCUGAACACCUCUUGGGUAUUUGCCAACAGGGACAAAUUGAAGAUCAUUAAGAACUUCUUCUCCCUCCGAUGAGUCCUUCUGCCUCAAUGUGCCAUGAGGCUAUCAUAUUUGCCUCCCUCUGUGUGCACAGUUGACGAGCAUAUCACACAGUAGAGGCUAAAGUGGCCACAAGAGGCUGCGUUGAGGUUGCUGGAGAAGAGAGAAGCACACGGCCAGAGAGAAGGUUCAUGGGAUGUCCACUAUUUAGAUGCCUGACUUCAGAGUUAGCCAUGUCUUGGCUCUUGGCAAUUCCUAAGGAAAUUCUGGAUGACGACCCUUGGAAGACUUUCUGGCCCAGGUAAUGCAUUUCAUGUUCUCCUUCAUGUUUCUUCUUUGCCCUUCUCAUGAGUAGACUUAGAUUUAUACACACACACACAAAAGUUUCAGUUCUCAGCUCAGAAGAUAGAAAUUUCUUGACGUCUGAGCAGAAGGGGGAUCACUGAGACUCAAGAAAGCACUUCAUGACCGGGGUCAUGAUGGUGUAUCGAUCAGCGCUGGCUGUUUUCUAUCAGUCAGGGUGGCAUGGGUGGUAACAAACAGCCCCCAGAUAUUUUUUUAACCCUUUUGUGUAAAAUAAAACACAGAUAAUGCAACCCCCGAGAAACAGUAUUUAUCGCCUUAUUAUAAGGCUAACACCCUUGUAACAGGUACUCAAGUUUGGAAACGGAGCUCAGAUGCCCUGUCCCUUGGCUCCCUCCCAAACUAACCAUCUUCUUCACCUUUCUGUAAAAAGCCCCAAAUCGUAAUGGGUGAAAACAA
This 3836-nucleotide long non-coding RNA is filed under the name Canis lupus familiaris (dog). Its description in RNAcentral is "lncRNA (ENSCAFG00845020427.1)". Lineage: Eukaryota; Metazoa; Chordata; Mammalia; Carnivora; Canidae. The record is from RNAcentral.